Molecule: long non-coding RNA, 907 nt
Organism: Cervus elaphus (red deer)
Lineage: Eukaryota; Metazoa; Chordata; Mammalia; Artiodactyla; Cervidae
Exons: 2
Source: RefSeq, a predicted model, not a curated record
GGUAGUGGGAGGGGGUGGGGAGAAGAGGGGAGUCACUGUGCUCCACCCUUUCUCUCUGAGAGAGAUCUCUGGAAGCAGGGUUGAAGGGAAUGGUCUGGAGAUCACCAUGGCGCCAAAGCCAAACUAAAUCCAACCCCAUCUCACCACAGGUUCCAGUACCCAGAGAGCAGACACGCUAGAGGUGUCAAUCCUAGUGAAGGGACAGGUGAUGAAGACUCAAGAGGCUGGUUUCAAGAUUCACCCUCAUCUCUCCUGUGAGGAGGCUUCUCCUUGAUUCAGAGGACCCAGCUGAAGACCACCAACCGCCCCCAGGCUGUCACCUUCACAAGUUAACCCUUGAACAUGGGUGUGAACUGCAUUUAUAAACAAUUUUUCACUAAAUAUGUACUCAGUGCAACAUGGCCCAUGUUUGAAUCAUGGGUGUGAAACUGAAUACAAAAAGCCAACAGGAUAGUCAUGUGCAGAUGUCUGACUAUAUGGGGGGUCAGUGCCCUAAAACCGCAUGUUGUUCAGUCAUCUGUAUAGCCUUUACCUAUCAGCCUUGGUCUUCCCUGGUGGCUUGGCAGUAAAGAAUCUGCCUGCAAUGCAGGAGACCUGAGUUUGAUCCCUGGCUCAGGAAAUGGCAAUCCACUCCAGUAUUCUUGCCUAGAGAAUUCCAUGGACAGGCUACAGUCCAUUAAGUCACAAGAAUCGGACACAACUGAGCGAUUAACACAUCACCCUUGUGAAGGCACCAGCUCAGGGCAGUCAGUGAACUUCACGGCUGUCAAAACCGCUUCUGGAGUUUGUGUUUCAAUUGCUGGUUUCUUGCUUCAACUGGGCCACAUCAAAGAAACCUUUCCAAACUGCCAUUUCAGCCUGUAAUCUCUCCCAUGUCCCAAUAAAACUGUAGAGAAAGGCACCAGGA